GUUGUCCGGAUUUAUUGGGCGUAAAGCGAGCGCAGGCGGUUAGAUAAGUCUGAAGUUAAAGGCUGUGGCUUAACCAUAGUACGCUUUGGAAACUGUUUAACUUGAGUGCAGAAGGGGAGAGUGGAAUUCCAUGUGUAGCGGUGAAAUGCGUAGAUAUAUGGAGGAACACCGGUGGCGAAAGCGGCUCUCUGGUCUGUAACUGACGCUGAGGCUCGAAAGCGUGGGGAGCGAACAGGAUUAGAUACCCUGGUAGUCCACGCCGUAAACGAUGAGUGCUAGGUGUUAGGCCCUUUCCGGGGCUUAGUGCCGCAGCUAACGCAUUAAGCACUCCGCCUGGGGAGUACGACCGCAAGGUUGAAACUCAAAGGAAUUGACGGGGGCCCGCACAAGCGGUGGAGCAUGUGGUUUAAUUCGAAGCAACGCGAAGAACCUUACCAGGUCUUGACAUCCCGAUGCCCGCUCUAGAGAUAGAGUUUUACUUCGGUACAUCGGUGACAGGUGGUGCAUGGUUGUCGUCAGCUCGUGUCGUGAGAAG
RNAcentral lists this ribosomal RNA (535 nucleotides) under uncultured bacterium. RNAcentral's name for it is "bacterial SSU rRNA". It matches the Rfam family "Bacterial small subunit ribosomal RNA", at positions 540 to 1074 of the family's 1533-position model. The record is from RNAcentral.